RNAcentral lists this ribosomal RNA (469 nucleotides) under uncultured bacterium. RNAcentral's name for it is "partial 16S ribosomal RNA". It matches the Rfam family "Bacterial small subunit ribosomal RNA", at positions 28 to 507 of the family's 1533-position model. The record is from RNAcentral.
GAUGAACGCUGGCGGCGCGCCUAACACAUGCAAGUCGAACGGUUAAAGCACCUUUUAGGUGUGUAUAAAGUGGCGAACGGCUGAGUAACACGUGGGCAACCUGCCCUCCUCUUGGGGAUAGCCUCGGGAAACCGAGGAUAAUACCCGAUACUUCAAUGUGGCCGCAUGACGACAUUGAGAAAGCUUUUGCGGAGAAGGAUGGGCCCGCGGCCUGUUAGCUUGUUGGUGGGGUAGAGGCCUACCAAGGCAAUGAUGGGUAGCUGGGUUGAGAGACCGACCAGCCAGAUGGGGACUGAGAAACAGCCCAGACUCCUACGGGAGGCAGCAGUGGGGAAGCUUGCACAAUGGGCGAAAGCCUGAUGCAGCGACGCCGCGGGCGGGACGAAGGCCUUCGGGUUGUAAACCGCUUUCAGCAGGGACGAGGCGAUAAGUGACGGUACCUGCAGAAGAAGCCCCGGCUAACUACGUG